Molecule: non-coding RNA, 92 nt
Organism: Acanthosepion pharaonis
Lineage: Eukaryota; Metazoa; Mollusca; Cephalopoda; Sepiida; Sepiidae
Source: the annotation of a GenBank genome assembly
AUGGCUACAUUGAGACACCUGUUCUCGUUCGGUCACUGAAGUUAAGCAACGUUGAGCAAAGCCAGUAGCUAGAUGGGUGACCUCUUGGGAAU